GGGCGUGUAGCUCAGUCGGGAGAGCACUUGGUUCGCAUUCAAGAGGCCACUGGUUCGAUCCCAGUUAGCCCCACCA
This 76-nucleotide transfer RNA is filed under the name Bacillota bacterium. Its description in RNAcentral is "Firmicutes bacterium (anaerobic digester metagenome) tRNA-Ala". It matches the Rfam family "tRNA". From Rfam's summary of the family: Transfer RNA (tRNA) molecules are approximately 80 nucleotides in length. Their secondary structure includes four short double-helical elements and three loops (D, anti-codon, and T loops). Further hydrogen bonds mediate the characteristic L-shaped molecular structure. tRNAs have two regions of fundamental functional importance: the anti-codon, which is responsible for specific mRNA codon recognition, and the 3' end, to which the tRNAs corresponding amino acid is attached (by aminoacyl-tRNA synthetases). tRNAs cope with the degeneracy of the genetic code in two manners: having more than one tRNA (with a specific anti-codon) for a particular amino acid; and 'wobble' base-pairing, i.e. permitting non-standard base-pairing at the 3rd anti-codon position. The record is from RNAcentral. Lineage: Bacteria; Bacillati; Bacillota.